RNAcentral lists this ribosomal RNA (253 nucleotides) under uncultured bacterium. RNAcentral describes it as "partial 16S ribosomal RNA". It matches the Rfam family "Bacterial small subunit ribosomal RNA", at positions 524 to 776 of the family's 1533-position model. The record is from RNAcentral.
UACAGAGGUGGCAAGCGUUGUUCGGAAUUACUGGGCGUAAAGCGUGUGUAGGCGGCCUUGCAAGUCGGAUGUGAAAGCCCCGGGCUCAACCCGGGAAGUGCACUCGAUACUGCAGGGCUUGAGUAUCGGAGAGGUUGGUGGAAUUCUCGGUGUAGAGGUGAAAUUCGUAGAUAUCGAGAGGAACACCGGCGGCGAAGGCGGCCAACUGGACGAUUACUGACGCUGAGACACGAAAGCGUGGGGAGCAAACAGG